GAUGAACGCUGGCGGCGUGCCUAAUACAUGCAAGUCGAGCGAACGGACGAGAAGCUUGCUUCUCUGACGUUAGCGGCGGACGGGUGAGUAACACGUGGAUAACCUACCUAUAAGACUGGGAUAACUUCGGGACACCGGAGCUAAUACCGGAUAAUAUUUUGAACCGCAUGGUUCAAUAGAGAAAGACGGUCUUGCUGUCACUUAUAGAUGGAUCCGCGCUGCAUUAGCUAGUUGGUAAGGUAACGGCUUACCAAGGCAACGAUGCAUAGCCGACCGGAGAGGGUGAUCGGCCACACUGGAACUGAGACACGGUCCAUACUCCUACGGGACGCAGCAGUAUGGAAUCUGCCGCAAUGGGCGAAAGCCUUACGGAGCAACGCCGCGUGAGUUAUGAAGGUCUUCGGAUCGUAAUGCUCUGUUAUUAGUGAAGAACAUAUGUGUAAGUAACUGUGCACAUCUUGACGGUACCUAAUCAGAAAGCCACGGCUAACUACGUG
RNAcentral lists this ribosomal RNA (497 nucleotides) under uncultured bacterium. RNAcentral describes it as "partial 16S ribosomal RNA". It matches the Rfam family "Bacterial small subunit ribosomal RNA", at positions 28 to 507 of the family's 1533-position model. The record is from RNAcentral.